AAAUGUAUGACUCCAACAUAAUGAAGGAAAGACCUAAUGGCUUCAAACUGCUAAUGCUGCCAUGUACCAAUAACAGCAUAUUUCACACUACAAUUACCAACACAAGAAUAAAUCAAUGAAGUUUACAAGGGACUGACAAGACCAAACCUAAAUAAAAAAGCCAACUGUAUAAACCAGAAGUUCUAAUUUUCAGUUUUACUGUUUUUCAUUUCUGUUGUUAAAAUAAAUAAAACCCAAAAGCAAACCAAAAAUCACCCGCAAGGACCUGUGUCUAUUUAUAGCUUGGGAUUAGGUAGUGAUGCGGAUAUGAUGUAUGUUGAGAGGAAUGCCCAGGCAUGCCUCUCAUUAUCUCCGAGGAGUGCAAACCUCUCUUAGCAUCAAUAACUUCAAUUUCUCAUUCCUCUCAACGACCAGUCUUGGGACGU
RNAcentral lists this unclassified non-coding RNA (425 nucleotides) under Hevea brasiliensis (rubber tree). The record is from RNAcentral. Lineage: Eukaryota; Viridiplantae; Streptophyta; Magnoliopsida; Malpighiales; Euphorbiaceae.